RNAcentral lists this ribosomal RNA (1372 nucleotides) under uncultured bacterium. RNAcentral describes it as "bacterial SSU rRNA". It matches the Rfam family "Bacterial small subunit ribosomal RNA", at positions 28 to 1381 of the family's 1533-position model. The record is from RNAcentral.
GAUGAACGCUGGCGGCGUGCCUAAUACAUGCAAGUCGAGCGAACGGACGAGAAGCUUGCUUCUCUGAUGUUAGCGGCGGACGGGUGAGUAACACGUGGAUAACCUACCUAUAAGACUGGGAUAACUUCGGGAAACCGGAGCUAAUACCGGAUAAUAUUUUGAACCGCAUGGUUCAAAAGUGAAAGACGGUCUUGCUGUCACUUAUAGAUGGAUCCGCGCUGCAUUAGCUAGUUGGUAAGGUAACGGCUUACCAAGGCAACGAUGCAUAGCCGACCUGAGAGGGUGAUCGGCCACACUGGAACUGAGACACGGUCCAGACUCCUACGGGAGGCAGCAGUAGGGAAUCUUCCGCAAUGGGCGAAAGCCUGACGGAGCAACGCCGCGUGAGUGAUGAAGGUCUUCGGAUCGUAAAACUCUGUUAUUAGGGAAGAACAUAUGUGUAAGUAACUGUGCACAUCUUGACGGUACCUAAUCAGAAAGCCACGGCUAACUACGUGCCAGCAGCCGCGGUAAUACGUAGGUGGCAAGCGUUAUCCGGAAUUAUUGGGCGUAAAGCGCGCGUAGGCGGUUUUUUAGUCUGAUGUGAAAGCCCACGGCUCAACCGUGGAGGGUCAUUGGAAACUGGAAAACUUGAGUGCAGAAGAGGAAAGUGGAAUUCCAUGUGUAGCGGUGAAAUGCGCAGAGAUAUGGAGGAACACCAGUGGCGAAGGCGACUUUCUGGUCUGUAACUGACGCUGAUGUGCGAAAGCGUGGGGAUCAAACAGGAUUAGAUACCCUGGUAGUCCACGCCGUAAACGAUGAGUGCUAAGUGUUAGGGGGUUUCCGCCCCUUAGUGCUGCAGCUAACGCAUUAAGCACUCCGCCUGGGGAGUACGACCGCAAGGUUGAAACUCAAAGGAAUUGACGGGGACCCGCACAAGCGGUGGAGCAUGUGGUUUAAUUCGAAGCAACGCGAAGAACCUUACCAAAUCUUGACAUCCUUUGACAACUCUAGAGAUAGAGCCUUCCCCUUCGGGGGACAAAGUGACAGGUGGUGCAUGGUUGUCGUCAGCUCGUGUCGUGAGAUGUUGGGUUAAGUCCCGCAACGAGCGCAACCCUUAAGCUUAGUUGCCAUCAUUAAGUUGGGCACUCUAAGUUGACUGCCGGUGACAAACCGGAGGAAGGUGGGGAUGACGUCAAAUCAUCAUGCCCCUUAUGAUUUGGGCUACACACGUGCUACAAUGGACAAUACAAAGGGCAGCGAAACCGCGAGGUCAAGCAAAUCCCAUAAAGUUGUUCUCAGUUCGGAUUGUAGUCUGCAACUCGACUACAUGAAGCUGGAAUCGCUAGUAAUCGUAGAUCAGCCAUGCUACGGUGAAUACGUUCCCGGGUCU